CCUACGGGGCGCAGCAGUGAGGAAUAUUGGUCAAUGGGCGGGAGCCUGAACCAGCCAAGCCGCGUGAGGGAAGAAGGUACAGCGUAUCGUAAACCUCUUUUGUCAGGGAACAAAGGCGGGGACUAGUCCCCGGAUGAGGGUACCUGAAGAAAAAGCAUCGGCUAACUCCGUGCCAGCAGCCGCGGUAAUACGGAGGGCGCGAGCGUUAAUCGGAAUUACUGGGCGUAAAGCGCGCGUAGGCUGUUGUGUAAGUUGGGGGUGAAAUCCCACGGCUCAACCGUGGAACAGCCCUUGAUACUGCGCGG
This 305-nucleotide ribosomal RNA is filed under the name uncultured bacterium. Its description in RNAcentral is "bacterial SSU rRNA". It matches the Rfam family "Bacterial small subunit ribosomal RNA", at positions 338 to 640 of the family's 1533-position model. The record is from RNAcentral.